This 223-nucleotide ribosomal RNA is filed under the name uncultured Glomeromycotina. RNAcentral describes it as "partial small subunit ribosomal RNA". It matches the Rfam family "Eukaryotic small subunit ribosomal RNA", at positions 569 to 800 of the family's 1831-position model. The record is from RNAcentral. Lineage: Eukaryota; Fungi; Glomeromycota.
AGUAGCCGCGGUAAUUCCAGCUCCAAUAGCGUAUAUUAAAGUUGUUGCAGUUAAAAAGCCGUAGUUGAAUUUUAGGCUUGGCCAGGCGGUCCGUCUUUGGCGAGUACUGUUCUGUGUCGGUCUUUCUUUCUGGUUAACCGGUGUGCUCUUUAUUGAGCGUGCCGUGGGAGCCAGGACAUUACCUUGAAAAAUUAGAGUGUUUAAAGCGGGCAUUUGCUUGAAU